AUGUCCAACAAAAUAAAAAUUAAAUAAAUUAAAAUAUUUGUGUUUG
Molecule: non-coding RNA, 46 nt
Filed under: Trypanosoma lewisi
Lineage: Eukaryota; Euglenozoa; Kinetoplastea; Trypanosomatida; Trypanosomatidae
Source: RNAcentral